This 460-nucleotide ribosomal RNA is filed under the name uncultured bacterium. Its description in RNAcentral is "partial 16S ribosomal RNA". It matches the Rfam family "Bacterial small subunit ribosomal RNA", at positions 338 to 795 of the family's 1533-position model. The record is from RNAcentral.
CCUACGGGCGGCAGCAGUGAGGAAUAUUGGUCAAUGGGCGGAAGCCUGAACCAGCCAAGUAGCGUGCAGGAUGACGGCCCUACGGGUUGUAAACUUCUUUUAUACGGGAAUAACGCGCCUUACGUGUAGGUCUUUGCAUGUACCGUAUGAAUAAGGACCGGCUAAUUCCGUGCCAGCAGCCGCGGUAAUACGGAAGGUCCGAGCGUUAUCCGGAUUUAUUGGGUUUAAAGGGAGCGUAGACGGCUUGAUAAGCUUGCUGUGAAAUGCCGGGGCUCAACCCCGGCAUUGCCGCGCGAACUGGUGAGCUUGAGACCGGGGACGGCAGGCGGAAUGUGUGGUGUAGCGGUGAAAUGCUUAGAUAUGACGAAGAACCCCGAUUGCGAAGGCAGCUUGCUGCAGCGGAACUGACGCUGAUGCUCGAAAGCGCGGGUAGCGAACAGGAUUAGAUACCCGUAUAGUC